GUUCCCGAUGAUGUUUUUCUCCUUUUACCAUGCUAAUUCUGAUCAAUGAUUAAAAUUUUCGGAUUAUUGUACUGAGGGAACU
Molecule: small nucleolar RNA, 82 nt
Filed under: Phaseolus vulgaris (common bean)
Lineage: Eukaryota; Viridiplantae; Streptophyta; Magnoliopsida; Fabales; Fabaceae
Description: snoRNA snoR53Y
Rfam family: Small nucleolar RNA snoR53Y
Source: Rfam by way of RNAcentral